This is a long non-coding RNA of Peromyscus californicus insignis, 491 nucleotides long. RefSeq lists it as uncharacterized. The record is from RefSeq and is a predicted model, not a curated record. NCBI's taxonomy places the organism in Eukaryota, Metazoa, Chordata, Mammalia, Rodentia, Cricetidae. The transcript is spliced from 2 exons.
GCCCAUCACAAAAUGUCAAGUUUAAAGUCAAAUCCACUUUGUUCAGAUCCAGGUGUACAGUAGAACCAGGUGUCCAGAACAUCAGUUCCAGGAGGCUUAACGACAACGAAGGUGCAGCACGGAACCAUCUGUGGCCUCUAAAGUCUCAGCCAUGUUGCUUGACCAGAAAAUGGUUGCUUUUCCUGGUGGUGCUGAGUCUGUGGCUUGCAGCCAUGAGGCCAAGAUCCUGUGCAUCUGAUUCUUCCAUGAGCAACUUUAAAGUCUGGAAAAGGGACCCUCUGGUGCUAUAUUCCAAAUUCUUUUCUUUCCAGCUUUUUCUUCACCAUCAUCAAAACUCAUCCUUAUUUCUCUUUCCAUUGAUUAGAAGAACUUUUAAUUUUUCAUAAAUUAAGGAAACGAUAAUUUUUGCACCACUGGAAUUGAUUUGCUUUUCCCAAAUACUUUUGCUUGUUCUUUCAUAGUAAUAAAAUUCAACACUUGGGUAGGCUUUU